This 459-nucleotide unclassified non-coding RNA is filed under the name Hevea brasiliensis (rubber tree). The record is from RNAcentral. Lineage: Eukaryota; Viridiplantae; Streptophyta; Magnoliopsida; Malpighiales; Euphorbiaceae.
CUGCACCACCUACUACGCCAAGAUCACUACCAAAGCUAAUAUCAUCAGGAAGAGUGAGAAUCUCUGAAUGAGCACGUCGGUGGCCCAAAUUCUUAGGUGGGUUAUCAGGCAUACGGCUAAUGUCAUGACUAAAGCUGCUAGAAUCUGAUCCAUGACCAAAAUGACUAGGGUCUGAACUAGUAGCUGGAGCCAUGGGAGGAAAUGAAGACGAUGAUGGCUCAGGUUUCACAGUAAAAGAACUUCCAGAUGGUGAAAAACCUGAGAAACGACCCGACGGCGGUGGUAAACCACUGCUAUGAUCUGGGGCUUUGUCCUUAUCCAUCUACAGAAGUAUACAGCGUCUAAAACAGAUUUGGCAAAGACCAGAAGGGGAACACCAACAGGUCGUGAUAUUAAGGUAUGCACCACCCAAAAUACUAACACCCGGAGUUCAAAGGAAACCCUAGGGGCACAGAAAUU